Molecule: long non-coding RNA, 503 nt
Organism: Chinchilla lanigera (long-tailed chinchilla)
Lineage: Eukaryota; Metazoa; Chordata; Mammalia; Rodentia; Chinchillidae
Exons: 3
Source: RefSeq, a predicted model, not a curated record
GGAGACCCGGAGAGUGAGCUCCGGGAGGUCCGGGCAAGAGAAGCUGCAACGGCGCCAGGGGCCUCGUGCCCGACCUGACCUGGCAAAGUUCUGGUUGGUGCUGCGGAUGGCCUCCAGCUCCCGGCUCAGGCUCUGCCGGGACUUCAGAAUAGAGAGCGGGACCUGAUGAGGAAGACCCUGCCCAGCUUUGGAAACCUCCAAAGAUCAGUCCCUCCCAUGGAGCACGUCCCCAGGACCUGUUUAUCCUGGACAUGCUCAGGACCAGCCUGCUGGCUCCCACACAGUAUGAGCUCUGCCCUGAACUGCCAGAGAAGAGGCUCCUCAUAGCAAGGCGGUCCUGCCCCUGCGCUAAGCCCUGGUUGAUCAGCUGCGGCCUCAGGCCACACAGAUGUGCAACACAUGUUGGCCAGGUGUGAGCCCGGGGCUUUGCUGAAUGGUGGGUUCAUACCAGCUUUCUUCUCCUUAUCCAUGCUAAUUGUAUUAAACAUGCUCUUGUUUGUAUA